RNAcentral lists this unclassified non-coding RNA (184 nucleotides) under uncultured Postia. RNAcentral's name for it is "sequence contains ITS1". Lineage: Eukaryota; Fungi; Basidiomycota; Agaricomycetes; Polyporales; Polyporaceae. The record is from RNAcentral.
UUGAAUAUUUGAAGAGGUUGUUGCUGGUCCCUACCGGGACAUCGUGCACGCCUCGUUCAAAAAAUCCAACCUUUCACACCCCUGUGCAUCAUUUGUAGGGUUGCGGCCUCCAGGCUUGCGCUCUAUGUUUAUCACAAACUCUGUAAUAUGUGUAGAAUGAUUUUGCGUAUAACGCAUCUAUAUA